Molecule: ribosomal RNA, 928 nt
Filed under: Papiliotrema flavescens
Lineage: Eukaryota; Fungi; Basidiomycota; Tremellomycetes; Tremellales; Rhynchogastremaceae
Description: LSU rRNA
Rfam family: Eukaryotic large subunit ribosomal RNA (bases 132-928)
Source: RNAcentral
UGGUGUCUGCCAGCAAUGGCUCACCUCAAAUGACUUAGUGGAACAUCCCACAUCAGUGUUAGACGUAAUAAGUUUCGUCUCUCCUUGUGGUGAUGACUGCUCAAAACCUGCCAUCGCGCACCUUUUGACUUUGACCUGAAAUCAGGUAGGGCUACCCGCUGAACUUAAGCAUAUCAAUAAGCGGAGGAAAAGAAACUAACAAGGAUUCCCCUAGUAACGGCGAGUGAACCGGGAAGAGCUCAAAUUUGAAAUCUGGCGUGCUCAGUGCGUCCGAGUUGUAAUCUAUAGAGUCGUUUUCCGUGCCGGACUGUGUCCAAGUCCCUUGGAACAGGGUAUCAAAGAGGGUGAUAAUCCCGUACUUGACACAAUGACCGGUGCUCUGUGAUACGUCUUCUACGAGUCGAGUUGUUUGGGAAUGCAGCUCAAAAUGGGUGGUGAGUUCCAUCUAAAGCUAAAUAUUGGCGAGAGACCGAUAGCGAACAAGUACCGUGAGGGAAAGAUGAAAAGCACUUUGGAAAGAGAGUUAAACAGUACGUGAAAUUGUUAAAAGGGAAACGAUUGAAGUCAGUCGUGACUGAGAGGCUCAGCCGGUUCUGCCGGUGUAUUCCCCUCAGUCGGGUCAACAUCAGUUUUGUUCGGUGGAUAAGGGCAGUUGGAAGGUGGCACCCUCGGGUGUGUUAUAGCCAGCUGUCGCAUACAUCGGAUGAGACUGAGGAAUGCAGCUCGCCUUUAUGGCCGGGGUUCGCCCACGUUCGAGCUUAGGAUGUUGACAUAAUGGCUUUAAACGACCCGUCUUGAAACACGGACCAAGGAGUCUAACAUAUCUGCGAGUGUUUGGGUGUCAAACCCAAGCGCGUAAUGAAAGUAAACGUAGGAGGGAUCCGUAAGGAGCACCUUCGACCGAUCUGGAUCUUCUGUGAUGGAUUUG